GACGAACGCUGGCGGCGUGCUUAACACAUGCAAGUCGAACGAUGAAGUUCCUUCGGGAAUGGAUUAGUGGCGAACGGGUGAGGAACACGUGAGAAACCUGCCUUUCAUUUUGGGAUAACUCCGGGAAACCGGGGCUAAAAACGAAUACUCCGUAUCGGCGGCAUCGCUGAGCCGGGAAAAAAUUUUGAUGAAAGAUGGUCUCGCGGCCUAUCAGCGAGUUGGUGAGGUAAUGGCUCACCAAGGCAACGACGGGUAGCCGGCCUGAGAGGGCGACCGGCCACACUGGGACUGAGACACGGCCCAGACUCCUACGGGAGGCAGCAGUGGGGAAUAUUGGGCAAUGGGCGCAAGCCUGACCCAGCGACGCCGCGCGAGGGAUGAAGGCCUUCGGGUUGUAAACCUCUUUCAGUAGGGACGAAGCGAAAGUGACGGUACCUAAAGAAGAAGCACCGGCUAACUAUGUGCCAGCCGCCGCCGUAA
RNAcentral lists this ribosomal RNA (480 nucleotides) under uncultured bacterium. RNAcentral's name for it is "partial 16S ribosomal RNA". It matches the Rfam family "Bacterial small subunit ribosomal RNA", at positions 28 to 523 of the family's 1533-position model. The record is from RNAcentral.